GACGAACGCUGGCGGCGUGCUUAACACAUGCAAGUCGAACGGAAAGGCCCUGCUUUUGUGGGGUGCUCGAGUGGCGAACGGGUGAGUAACACGUGAGUAACCUGCCCUUGACUUUGGGAUAACUUCAGGAAACUGGGGCUAAUACCGGAUAGGAGCUCCUGCUGCAUGGGGGGGGUUGGAAAGUUUCGGCGGUUGGGGCUGGACUAGCGGCUUAUCAGCUUGUUGGGGGGGUAGUGGCUUACCAAGGCUUUGACGGGUAGCCGGCCUGAGAGGGUGACCGGCCACAUUGGGCCUGAGAUACGGCCCAGACUCCUACGGGAGGCAGCGGUGGGGAAUAUUGCACAAUGGGCGGAAGCCUGAUGCAGCAACGCCGCGUGCGGGAUGCCGGCCUUCGGGUUGUAAACCGCUUUCGCCUGUGACGAAGCGUGAGUGACGGUAAUGGGUAAAGAAGCACCGGCUAACUACGUG
RNAcentral lists this ribosomal RNA (468 nucleotides) under uncultured bacterium. RNAcentral's name for it is "partial 16S ribosomal RNA". It matches the Rfam family "Bacterial small subunit ribosomal RNA", at positions 28 to 507 of the family's 1533-position model. The record is from RNAcentral.